Molecule: long non-coding RNA, 282 nt
Organism: Hippoglossus stenolepis (Pacific halibut)
Lineage: Eukaryota; Metazoa; Chordata; Actinopteri; Pleuronectiformes; Pleuronectidae
Exons: 4
Source: RefSeq, a predicted model, not a curated record
AGAAAAGUGAGCAGGGAGAAGGAAAUAGACCAGACCUGGAACAUCUAGAAGAGCAGCGUGGCCUGAACCACAACUGAGCCGCAGCCGGCCCGGUGUAACAUGGACGAGGACAUUUCAGAGCAAGUUGGACCCUCACACACAAAAGGUCAGGACCACAGACUGAGAGCAGAGUCUCCAGGGUCCAGCUGUGUGUCUCUGAAGAGUGACAUGUCCAUGGGUAUUCCUCUAAACUUCAGUAAUGAACCUGGACCCUCACACACAGAAGAGAGGAAGAGGAGUCAU